UUCCGGUUGAUCCUGCCGGAGGCUACCGCUAUUGGAGUUCGAUUAAGCCAUGCGAGUCGCGAGUCUUAGGGACUCGGCGUACCGCUCAGUAACACGUGGGUAACCUGCCCUAUGCUGGGGGAUAACCUCGGGAAACUGAGAAUAAUACCCCAUAGUUCACCACACCUGGAACGGUGGGUGGAUCAAAGCUCCGGCGGCAUAGGAUGGGCCUGCGGCGUAUCAGGUUGUAGGGGGUGUAAUGUACCCUCUAGCCCUCUACGCGUACGGGUGUUGAGAGACAUCGCCCGGAGAUGGAUUCUGAGACACGAAUCCAGACCCUACGGGGUGCAGCAGGCGCGAAAACUUGGCAAUGCGAGAAAUCGUGACCAGGGAACUCCAAGUGCAUCGGGUAAGACCGAUGCUUUUCUUGACUCUUCAAAGGUCUUGGAAUAAGGGGUGGGUAAGGACGGUGCCAGCCGCCGCGGUAAUACCGGCGCCCCAAGUGGUAGUCGCUUUUAUUGGGCCUAAAACGUCCGUAGCCGGUCUGGUACAUUCGUGGGUAAAUCAACCAGCUCAACUGGUUGAAUUCUGCGAGCACGGCCAGACUUGGGACCGGGAGAGGUGUGGGGUACUCUCAGGGUAGGGGUAAAAUCCUGUCAUCCUGAGAGGACCACCUGUUGCGAAGGCGCCACACUAGAACGGAUCCGACGGUCAGGGACGAAGCCUAGGGGCACGAACCGGAUUAGAUACCCGGGUAGUCCUAGGUGUAAACGCUGUGGACUUGAUGUUGGGGGCGCUCCGAGCGCACUCAGUGUCGAAGCGAAGGUGAUAAGUCCACUGCCUGGGGAGUACGGUCGCAAGGCUGAAACUUAAAGGAAUUGGCGGGGGAGCACCGCAACCUGAGGAUUGUGCGGUUUAAUUGGAGUCAACGCCGG
RNAcentral lists this ribosomal RNA (914 nucleotides) under uncultured marine archaeon. RNAcentral describes it as "bacterial SSU rRNA". It matches the Rfam family "Archaeal small subunit ribosomal RNA", at positions 1 to 921 of the family's 1478-position model. The record is from RNAcentral.